Long non-coding RNA from Myodes glareolus (Bank vole), 477 nucleotides. RefSeq lists it as uncharacterized. The record is from RefSeq and is a predicted model, not a curated record. NCBI's taxonomy places the organism in Eukaryota, Metazoa, Chordata, Mammalia, Rodentia, Cricetidae.
CUGCCAUCAGCUCCCUCUGCCCACUCUGACUAAAGGACAGAUUCAGUGAGCAGAAUGGAUCUUCUUCGACCUGGAUCUGAUGCUGUGGCUGCAUGGGAAGACCCUGGGAGGUGAGCAAAGUUCCAUCAUGCAAAGGUACUGCAUUUUCUCUCUCCUUCCAUCUGCUACUGGACCUCUGGGCACGCUCCACAGCUCAGCUAUUACAAACAGUGCAGCAGCAAAUAUGGAAGACCGUCACCAGCUGCCUUUGGGUGACAUCACGACUCCAUGUGACAAAUCAAGGAGGGAGUUUCAGCAGCAGAACCCUGGGCAUUGAUGGCCUGAGAUAUGAGUAACACCUGUGUAGUACUGGACUCGGAAGACAGGGGACGUAACCUUCACUGAGGCGGUCCGUGGGGACCUGGACAGCUGGUGUAGUGGAAGAACGCUGGCUGACCACAGGGGAUUAGGGCCAAACGCAACCCAUCUCACACUGAA